GCCGCGGUAAAACCAGCACCUCAAGUUGUCAGGAGGAUUAUUGGGCCUAAAGCAUCCGUAGCCGGCUCUGUUAGUUUUCGGUUAAAUCUAUAUGCUCAACAUAUGGGCUGUCGGAAAUACUGUAGAGCUAGGGAAUGGGAGAGGUAGACGGUACUCGGUAGGAAGGGGUAAAAUCCUUUGAUCUAUCGAUGACCACCUGUGGCGAAGGCGGUCUACCAGAACAUGUUCGACGGUGAGGGAUGAAAGCUGGGGGAGCAAACCGGAUUAGAUACCCGGGUAGUCCCAGCUGUAAACGAUGCAGACUAGAUGAUGCAUUAGCAUAUAGCUAGUGCAGUGUCUCAGGGAAGCCGUUAAGUCUGCCGCCUGGGAAGUACGUACGCAAGUAUGAAACUUAAAGGAAUUGGCGGGGGAGCACGGUCAUAGCUGUUUCCUAA
RNAcentral lists this ribosomal RNA (434 nucleotides) under crenarchaeote SCGC AAA288-F20. RNAcentral's name for it is "SSU rRNA". It matches the Rfam family "Archaeal small subunit ribosomal RNA", at positions 464 to 898 of the family's 1478-position model. The record is from RNAcentral. Lineage: Archaea; Thermoproteati; Thermoproteota.